This 1145-nucleotide ribosomal RNA is filed under the name Atractiella rhizophila. RNAcentral's name for it is "eukaryotic LSU rRNA". The stretch from base 536 to 1145 matches the Rfam family "Eukaryotic large subunit ribosomal RNA", at positions 1 to 628 of the family's 3401-position model. The record is from RNAcentral. Lineage: Eukaryota; Fungi; Basidiomycota; Atractiellomycetes; Atractiellales; Hoehnelomycetaceae.
CGGAGGAUCAUUAGCGAGUAUGGCCCUCACGGGNCUAAUCCACCAUAAACACCUUUGUGAACCAGUCAGGGGGACUCGGCCGUGAAAGCCCAGGCGAUUAGCGGAAGGGCCCUCCUUUGCAAACCCGUUUAGAAGUCUUGAAAGUACUUUUGUAUAAUCUAGUAAAACUUAUAGCAACGGAUCUCUUGGCUCUCGUAUCGAUGAAGAACGCAGCGAAAUGUGAUAAGUAAUGUGAAUUGCAGAAUUCAGUGAAUCAUCGAAUCUUUGAACGCAUCUUGCGCUCUUUGGUAUUCCGAAGAGCAUGUCUGUCUGAGUGUCACGAAACUCUCAACCUCCUUUCCUUUGUGAUCGGCUGGUUGGAUCAUGGGCGCUUGCCGGCCAGGUCGGCUCGCCUGAAAUGCAUUUGCGAUGUUGUGUCCUUGUGAGUUGGCCCGACUAGGCGUGAUGGUAACGACGUUCGUCUAGGAUCCCGCUUCGGCGAGGAGCCGCUCCUGUUGGGCGUUUGCCUUCGCAUGAACACUCAUAUCUUUGGUUUAGACCUCAGAUCAGGCAGGAUUACCCGCUGAACUUAAGCAUAUCAAUAAGCGGAGGAAAAGAAACUAACAAGGAUUCCCCCAGUAACGGCGAGUGAAGAGGGAAGAGCUCAAAUUUGUAAUCUGGCCGUUCUGCGGUCCGAGUUGUAACCUAUAGAAGCGUUUUCUGUGCCUGGCCCCUUAUGAGUCUGUUGGAAUAUAGCGUCAAAGAGGGUGAGAACCCCGUUCGUGAUGGGUGUCCAGUGUGCUCUGUGAUACGCUCUCUAAGAGUCGAGUUGUUUGGGAAUGCAGCUCUAAUUGGGUGGUAAAUUCCAUCUAAAGCUAAAUAUUGACGAGAGACCGAUAGCGAACAAGUACCGUGAGGGAAAGAUGAAAAGCACUUUGGAAAGAGAGUUAACAGUACGUGAAAUUGCUAUAAGGGAAACGCUUGAAGUCAGACAUGCUCCGUGCGUUCAGCCGAAAGGUGUACUCGUACGGUUGCAGGCUAGAGUCUGUUCUUGGGGUCGGAUAAGGGUCUUGGGAAUGUGGCCGGUUCGCCGGUGUUAAGCCCUGGACUUGAUACGGCUCUGGGGACAGAGGACCGCAGCGCGCCUUCUUGGCAUNGGCUUCGGC